Branchiostoma floridae (Florida lancelet) is the source of this 46-nucleotide non-coding RNA. The record is from Rfam. NCBI's taxonomy places the organism in Eukaryota, Metazoa, Chordata, Leptocardii, Amphioxiformes, Branchiostomatidae.
UCCCCGGCCCUUUUCAGGGCCACCAAAAUCUUCACACAAGAACUAU